AUUGAACGCUGGCGGCAUGCCUUACACAUGCAAGUCGAACGGCAGCGGGGGAGAAGCUUGCUUUUCCUGCCGGCGAGUGGCGAACGGGUGAGUAAUACAUCGGAACGUGCCCUGUAGUGGGGGAUAACUAGUCGAAAGAUUAGCUAAUACCGCAUACGACCUGAGGGUGAAAGUGGGGGACCGCAAGGCCUCAUGCUAUAGGAGCGGCCGAUGUCUGAUUAGCUAGUUGGUGGGGUAAAGGCCUUCCAAGGCGACGAUCAGUAGCUGGUCUGAGAGGACGAGCAGCCACACUGGGACUGAGACACGGCCCAGACUCCUACGGGAGGCAGCAGUGGGGAAUUUUGGACAAUGGGCGAAAGCCUGAUCCAGCAAUGCCGCGUGUGUGAAGAAGGCCUUCGGGUUGUAAAGCACUUUUGUCCGGAAAGAAAUGGCUCUGGUUAAUACCUGGGGUCGAUGACGGUACCGGAAGAAUAAGGACCGGCUAACUACGUGCCAGCCGCCGCUGUAA
Molecule: ribosomal RNA, 508 nt
Filed under: uncultured bacterium
Lineage: Bacteria
Description: partial 16S ribosomal RNA
Rfam family: Bacterial small subunit ribosomal RNA
Source: RNAcentral